RNAcentral lists this ribosomal RNA (778 nucleotides) under uncultured Neocallimastigales. RNAcentral's name for it is "partial large subunit ribosomal RNA". It matches the Rfam family "Eukaryotic large subunit ribosomal RNA", at positions 24 to 616 of the family's 3401-position model. The record is from RNAcentral. Lineage: Eukaryota; Fungi; Neocallimastigomycota; Neocallimastigomycetes; Neocallimastigales.
UACGACUACAUAUCAGGCAUAUCAAUAAGCGGAGGAAAAGAAACUAACUAGGAUUCCCUUAGUAACGGCGAGUGAAGCGGGAAGAGCUCAAAUUUGAAAUCUUCAAGGUUUUACCUUGACGAAUUGUAGUUUAAAGAAGUGUUUUCUGUUGGAGUUUUGGUAAAAGUUCUUUGGAAUAGGACAUCAUAGAGGGUGAGAAUCCCGUAUUUGACCAUUAUUUUCAGCUGUGUGAUACACUUUCAAAGAGUCGGAUUGUUUGGGAAUGCAGUCCAAAAUGGGUGGUAAAUUUCAUCUAAAGCUAAAUAUUGGCGAGAGACCGAUAGCGAACAAGUACCGUGAGGGAAAGAUGAAAAGAACUUUGAAAAGAGAGUUAAACAGUACGUGAAAUUGUCAAAAGGGAAGCGUUUGACACCAGUGUUGUUUUCUCGAAAAUCAAUUAAAAAAGGUUAGGAUUUUGUGUUGUAUUGACCUUAUCAGCUUGCUUGCACUCUUUUCCUAGCUUUUUUAAUGCACUUUUCGUUUAACAAGUCAACAUCAAUUUCUUUUGUUGUAAAAGGGUCAUUGGAAGGUGGCUUUCUUUUCGGAGAAAGUGUUUAUAGCCUUUGAUCUCUGCAAUCGGAGAGACUGAGGUCUGCAGCGUAGAUCCUUCGGGGUUAGAUACAUUUGUGCUAAGCUAUCAGCUUUUCAUAGACAACUUGUUGACUAUGAUUAGUCAUUGUAGCUUACCCGCUUAUGCUAUUUUACCUACGCUUAGGAUGUUGAGCGCAUGUCUCUCUCU